GGCAGCCAUAUUAGGGGGAUGCAGAGAGUGACUAGCGGGUUGAACGAAGAAUGCAGAUAAAGAUUAAAAAAAUGAUGUGCUGGAUUCAGACAGAAAAAAUAAUGAGCACUGCAUCGGGUUUCCAUGGCGAUGGGUCUCCGGAUGACGUGUGCCAUACAAUGCGCGAUGACAUCAUCAUCAAGCAACACAGCCGCCAUACGGGUCUCGCUGGGCGGUCGCCUCUCACUCACAAUGGUGGGGAUAAAAAGUAUGCUGCCGAUUGCAUUGUUUCCUUGGUGGUGAUGGUUAUUUACGUGUAAUUAGUAACCAGACUCGAGCCCAGGCUGACAAGCCCAGGUGGGCGUGACACAGCACAGCAUGGACACUGAGGAACUCAAGCUUGUGGCAUCUUUUGCACAAGGGUGUUUUGGGGGAUAUAAAAUAUCAGGCACUGCGAUGAGCUCUAAUUUGGCCCCAUCAUAUGCCAAUUUGUUUAUGGCCGAUGUGAAAACACCCACAACCU
Pseudophryne corroboree (corroboree frog) is the source of this 502-nucleotide long non-coding RNA. RefSeq lists it as uncharacterized. The transcript is spliced from 5 exons. NCBI's taxonomy places the organism in Eukaryota, Metazoa, Chordata, Amphibia, Anura, Myobatrachidae. The record is from RefSeq and is a predicted model, not a curated record.